UACGUAGGCAGCGAGCGUUGUUCGGAGUUACUGGGCGUAAAGAGUGCGUAGGCGGUUUUCUAAGUUUGGUGUGAAAUCUCCCGGCUCAACUGGGAGGGUGCGCCGAAGACUGGAAGGCUUGAGUAUGGGAGAGGUAAGCGGAAUUCCUGGUGUAGCGGUGAAAUGCGCAGAUAUCAGGAGGAACACCGAUGGCGAAGGCAGCUCGCUGGGACGGUACUGACGCUGAGGCGCGAAAGCGUGGGGAGCAAACAGG
This 253-nucleotide ribosomal RNA is filed under the name uncultured bacterium. RNAcentral's name for it is "partial 16S ribosomal RNA". It matches the Rfam family "Bacterial small subunit ribosomal RNA", at positions 524 to 776 of the family's 1533-position model. The record is from RNAcentral.